This 466-nucleotide ribosomal RNA is filed under the name uncultured bacterium. Its description in RNAcentral is "partial 16S ribosomal RNA". It matches the Rfam family "Bacterial small subunit ribosomal RNA", at positions 28 to 506 of the family's 1533-position model. The record is from RNAcentral.
GACGAACGCUGGCGGCGUGCUUAACACAUGCAAGUCGAACGGAAAGGCCUCUUUCGGGGGGUACUCGAGUGGCGAACGGGUGGGUAACACGUGAGUAACCUGCCCUUGACUUUGGGAUAACUUCAGGAAACUGGGGCUAAUACCGGAUAGGAGCUCCUGCUGCAUGGUGGGGGUUGGAAAGUUUCGGCGGUUGGGGAUGGACUCGCGGCUUAUCAGCUUGUUGGUGGGGUAGUGGCUUACCAAGGCUUUGACGGGUAGCCGGCCUGAGAGGGUGACCGGCCACAUUGGGACUGAGAUACGGCCCAGACUCCUACGGGAGGCAGCAGUGGGGAAUAUUGCACAAUGGGUGGAAGCCUGAUGCAGCAACGCCGUGUGCGGGAUGACGGCCUUCGGGUUGUAAACCGCUUUCGCUCAUGACGAAGCUUUGUGUGACGGUAGUGGGUAAAGAAGCACCGGCUAACUACGU